Molecule: ribosomal RNA, 497 nt
Filed under: uncultured bacterium
Lineage: Bacteria
Description: partial 16S ribosomal RNA
Rfam family: Bacterial small subunit ribosomal RNA
Source: RNAcentral
GACGAACGCUGGCGGCGUGCCUAAUACAUGCAAGUUGAGCGCUGAAGGUUGGUACUUGUACCGACUGGAUGAGCAGCGAACGGGUGAGUAACGCGUGGGGAAUCUGCCUUUGAGCGGGGGACAACAUUUGGAAACGAAUGCUAAUACCGCAUAAAAACUUUAAACACAAGUUUUAAGUUUGAAAGAUACAAUUGCAUCACUCAAAGAUGAUCCCGCGUUGUAUUAGCUAGUUGGUGAGGUAAAGGCUCACCAAGGCGAUGAUACAUAGCCGACCUGAGAGGGUGAUCGGCCACAUUGGGACUGAGACACGGCCCAAACUCCUACGGGAGGCAGCAGUAGGGAAUCUUCGGCAAUGGACGAAAGUCUGACCGAGCAACGCCGCGUGAGUGAAGAAGGUUUUCGGAUCGUAAAACUCUGUUGGUAGAGAAGAACGUUGGUGAGAGUGGAAAGCUCAUCAAGUGACGGUAACUACCCAGAAAGGGACGGCUAACUACGUG